Oncorhynchus tshawytscha (Chinook salmon) is the source of this 336-nucleotide long non-coding RNA. The record is from Ensembl. NCBI's taxonomy places the organism in Eukaryota, Metazoa, Chordata, Actinopteri, Salmoniformes, Salmonidae.
CUAGUCUCCUCUGUUCCCUCUCCGUCUGCCCCUAGUCUCCUCUGUUCCCUCUCUGUCUGCCCCUAGUCUCCUCUGUUUCCUCUCUGUCUGCCCCUAUCUCCUCUGUUCCCUCUCCGUCUGCCCCUAGUCUCCUCUGUCCCCUCUCCGUCUGCCCCUAUCUCCUCUGUUCCCUCUCCGUCUGCCCCUAGUCUCCUCUGUUCCCUCUCUGGCUGCCCCUAGUCUCCUCUGUUCCCUCUCCGUCUGCCCAUAGUCUCCUCUGUUCCCUCUCCGUCUGCCCCUAGUCUCCUCUCUUUCCUCUCUGUCUGCUCCUAGUCGCCUCUGUUUCCUCUCUGUCUG